This is a long non-coding RNA of Brachypodium distachyon (stiff brome), 305 nucleotides long. RefSeq lists it as uncharacterized. The transcript has 2 exons. Lineage: Eukaryota; Viridiplantae; Streptophyta; Magnoliopsida; Poales; Poaceae. The record is from RefSeq and is a predicted model, not a curated record.
CCAUAGCAGUGGAGUACACUCGGUUGAACCGUUGGAUAGCUCCAGAUUGGUUAGUCCCUCUCAUCAGAACACAUAGCAGAUAUAUGAAGCAGCAGCAGUAGUAUAUAGUUUUCCGAUGGGGGUUUGGAAGAUCUGCCCCCUGCACAUACAGAGCUGCACCACCCCGAUUAGUUUUACGCCUCGCCGCGGCUGAGAGCGACGUGAUUGCGUCGUGUCCCGCGACCGCCGGACACGACGCGCCCGUGUGGCCUGCCCUGUCGACCCUUGACAUACAUUUAUAUCAUCAUCGAGGCACUUGCGAUUUU